GCGGCGAUGUGCGGGGCAGCAGCUGAAAAACGUGAUUUUUGAGUCAUUUCUUAGAUUUUCUUUUCCUCUCUUCUUCUUCCCUCUUCCAUGUCCGAAACCCUAGCUCCCAAAACCUUGAUUUCCUCCACUUUUCUCAACAAAUCAACCAUGGAUCUUGCAUCAAGGAUGGAGAAUAAGAGGAGAUCACCACUUUCUACCGAAUGGAAUUUUGAAAUUUUUGAGGGCAUAACCUGAGAAGGACAAGCACUCCGUUAUAGCACUGUAACCAACCAGGACGUUCGUCCCCUUUUGUCAACCUUUAUGAGUCCAGGCACUAAGCGAGAUCACUCAGUUUUGUGAAGCUUUGUUAAGACAUUGUCUUGUUUUUUUUUUUUUUGAUUACUCAUUUAAGGUUAAAUGUACAUGACUUCAAUGUUUUU
Molecule: non-coding RNA, 419 nt
Organism: Camellia sinensis
Lineage: Eukaryota; Viridiplantae; Streptophyta; Magnoliopsida; Ericales; Theaceae
Source: RefSeq, a predicted model, not a curated record